Molecule: non-coding RNA, 149 nt
Organism: Gorilla gorilla gorilla (western lowland gorilla)
Lineage: Eukaryota; Metazoa; Chordata; Mammalia; Primates; Hominidae
Rfam family: Metazoan signal recognition particle RNA
About the family: The signal recognition particle (SRP) is a universally conserved ribonucleoprotein. It is involved in the co-translational targeting of proteins to membranes.
Source: Rfam
GCCAGGCAUGGUGGCGUAUGCCUGUAGUCCCAGCUACUUGGGAGGCUGAGGUGGGAGGAUCACCUGAGCCCAGGGAGGUCAAGGCUGCAGUGAGCCAUGAUUGCACCACUGCACUCCAGCCUGGGCAACAGGGCGAGACCCUGUCUCAA